Molecule: ribosomal RNA, 384 nt
Filed under: uncultured bacterium
Lineage: Bacteria
Description: partial 16S ribosomal RNA
Rfam family: Bacterial small subunit ribosomal RNA
Source: RNAcentral
UGGGGAAUUUUGGACAAUGGGCGAAAGCCUGAUCCAGCAAUGCCGCGUGUGUGAAGAAGGCCUUCGGGUUGUAAAGCACUUUUGUCCGGAAAGAAAUCCUUGGCUCUAAUACAGUCGGGGGAUGACGGUACCGGAAGAAUAAGCACCGGCUAACUACGUGCCAGCAGCCGCGGUAAUACGUAGGGUGCAAGCGUUAAUCGGAAUUACUGGGCGUAAAGCGUGCGCAGGCGGUUUGCUAAGACCGAUGUGAAAUCCCCGGGCUCAACCUGGGAACUGCAUUGGUGACUGGCAGGCUAGAGUAUGGCAGAGGGGGGUAGAAUUCCACGUGUGAGCAGUGAAAUGCGUAGAGAUGUGGAGGAAUACCGAUGGCGAAGGCAGCCCCCU